GGCAUUCCACACCAAGAACACGGCUCCACUAGGGAGCAAAGAUUCAGCCUGCUCUCCUCCUUCCCGCCGAGGUCACCGGGGCCUCCCGGAGCCAACCGGGGGAGGGGGCUGUCCCUCAGCCCCAUCACGUCUCAUCUGUGGUCAAGGGAAACUGCCACGGCUCGGUCUUCUUCGAUCCCUUCCCUCCCUGGGGACGGUUCGGACAAUCCUGCCACCAACGCCCUUCCUCUUGGCAGUCCUGCGGCCUCUGGAACAAAGAUCAUUGGGAUUCCACCCUGCCUCGCUCUCUGGCACAGCCUGUCCACCAGGCCUGCGGAUGUCUGAUCCUGGGUCAUCUGCCUUACCCGCUUGUUCCCUGGCUUCGAACGGAAUGGAUGACUUUGCCUCAGGCAUGCUAACCUUCUCCUCCAGAAGCCCACAAUUCGUAUGGGGCGAGAAUUCAUAUGAAGAAACAGAGGAAAGGGAACCUCUGCCACUCCAGUGCAGCCUGACAUUCCUGAGAUGCCUCAAGACACAGCUAAACAAAUGGUGGUUGGAGAAAAAGAUGUAUAUGUGGGAUUGAAAGAAGAUAGGCAAGAACGAGAACGAGAACAGUCUUACAUGCCAAUCACGGGACGUGGACUUCCUCCUGACACAGUGGGACGAAAACAGUAUAGAGUGUGUUAGUUAGUACUCACUCACUUACUUAGUUCAGCCUAAUUCAGGUUCAUACAAAUUCCCCCUUUCCCUGUCUUUAGUGGUCAAAGAGAGUGUUCAUCUAUCUGAAGAAAUAUAAAAUUAUUAAAAUCACUUUUUCAGAUCCAAGGACCUCUUUGAACUGUCUAAAGUCAUCCUGCAUGCAAAUGUGCAUUUGCCUGGGUAGAUUAUCUAAAGCCUUCGUUGGAUUUCUCAAGUGAUCUAAAGCUCUAAAAAGUAUAAGAAUCACU
This 926-nucleotide long non-coding RNA is filed under the name Equus caballus (horse). RNAcentral's name for it is "lncRNA (ENSECAG00000033634.3)". The record is from RNAcentral. Lineage: Eukaryota; Metazoa; Chordata; Mammalia; Perissodactyla; Equidae.